ACGGAGGGUGCAAGCGUUGUUCGGAUUGACUGGGCGUAAAGGGCGUGUAGGCGGUUGCCCAAGUCCGAUGUGAAAGCCCGAGGCCUACCCUCGGAAGUGCAUCGGAAACUAGGCAGCUGGAGCGCGAUAGAGGAGGGUAGAAUUCCUGGUGUAGCGGUGAAAUGCGUAGAUAUCAGGAGGAAUACCGGCGGCGAAGGCGGCCCUCUGGAUCGUUGCUGACGCUGAGACGCGAAAGCGUGGGGAGCAAACAGG
This 252-nucleotide ribosomal RNA is filed under the name uncultured bacterium. RNAcentral's name for it is "partial 16S ribosomal RNA". It matches the Rfam family "Bacterial small subunit ribosomal RNA", at positions 525 to 776 of the family's 1533-position model. The record is from RNAcentral.